AGGGCAACAGGUGAAUGCCUUGGCGCUGAGAGGCGAUGAAAGACGCGGUAAGCUGCGAUAAGCAUCGGGGAGGAGCUAAACAUCCUACGAUCCGAUGAUUUCUGAAUGGGGAAACCCGAUGGGAGUCAUGUCCCAUCAUCCUGAGCUGAAUAUAUAGGCCCAGAGAAGCCAACCCGGGGAAGUGAAACAUCUCAGUACCCGGAGGAAGAGAAAUCAAACGAGACUCCCAAAGUAGCGGCGAGCGAAAUGGGAAGAGCCCAAACCGGGUGGUUUCGACCAUUCGGGGUUGUAGGGCCGGCAUACGCGAUUCUGGAGUAGGCAGAGGAAGUGAGCUGGAAAGCUCCGCCACAGCGGGUGAUAGCCCCGUACUCGAAACCGAAAAGGACGCAGCCGGUACCUGAGUACUGCGAGGCACGUGGAACCUCGUGGGAAUCUAGGGGGACCAUCCUCUAAGGCUAAGUACUCCUCAGCGACCGAUAGUGAACUAGUACCGUGAGGGAAAGGUGAAAAGAACCCCUGUUAGGGGAGUGAAAUAGAAUCUGAAACCUGUUGCCUACAAGCUGCGAGAGCUACUUCGGUAGUGAUCGCGUGCCUUUUGUAUAAUGAGUCAGCGAGUUACUCUACCGUGCGAGGUUAAGCGAAAGCGUAGCCGUAGUGAAAGCGAGGCUUAAUAGGCCGACUAGUACGUUGGAGUAGACCCGAAACCGGGUGAUCUAUCCAUGAGCAGGUUGAAGCAAGGGUAAAGCCUUGUGGAGGACCGAACCGUCAACGGCUGAAAACGUUCCGGAUGACUUGUGGAUAGGGGUGAAAGGUCAAUCAAACCCGGUGAUAGCUGGUUCUCCCCGAAAUAUAUUGAGGUAUAGCCUCGGGAAUUGAUUAGCGGAGGUAAAGCACUGACAGAGCUAGGGGUCCUACCAGAUUACCAAACUCUAUCAAACUCAGAAUGCCGCUUAAUUGUAUCCCGGGAGUCAGACGGCGGGUGCGAAGGUUCGUCGUCAAAAGGGAAACAGCCCAGACCAACAGCUAAGGUCUCCAAAUCCAUGCUCAGUGGUGAAGGUAGUGGAACCGUUUAGACAGCCAGGACGUUGGCUUAGAAGCAGCCAUCGUUUAAAGAAAGCGUAAUAGCUCACUGGUCUAAUGGCUCUGCGCCGAAAAUGUAACGGGGCUAAGCAUGGUACCGAAGCUUUGGCAAUCUCCUUUGGAGAUUGGGUAGGGGAGCGUUCGCUGCGGGCUGAAGGUGUGCCGGAAGGCAUGCUGGACUGCAGUGAAGUGAUUAUGCUGACAUGAGUAACGAUAAAAUAUGUGAAAAACAUAUUCGCCGAAAACCCGAGGUUUCCUGGGUAAAGGUAAUCUUCCCAGGGUUAGUCGGAUCCUAAGGUGAGGGUGAAAGCCGUAACCGAUGGAAAACAGGUUAAUAUUCCUGUACUUGUUGUGUAGCGCGAUGGAGGGACGCAGGAAGAUAGGCGGGCCGGGUGUUGGAUAUCCCGGUGCAAGCGUGUAGGAAUAUCCGGUAGGCAAAUCCGCCGGACGAAUCUGAGACGCGAGUCCGUGGGCGCAAGCCCUGAAGCCGUUGAGUCUAUGCUGCCUAGAAAAGCUCCUAAGUUUAUCCACAGCAAUCCGUACCGCAAACCAACUCAGGUGGGUGGGAUGAACAAUCCAAGGCGCUCGAGAGAACUCUGGCCAAGGAACUCGGCAAAAUAACCCCGUAACUUCGGAAGAAGGGGUGCUCUCUAGGGUGACAUGUUUAACAUAUGAAGCCCCGGGGAGCCGCAGUGAAUUGGUGGUGGCGACUGUUUACUAAAAACAUAGGUCUGUGCGAAGUCCUAAAGACGACGUAUACGGACUGACGCCUGCCCGGUGCUGGAAGGUUAAAAGGAGGGGUCAGCGCAAGCAAAGCUCCGAAUUGAAGCCCCAGUAAACGGCGGCCGUAACUAUAACGGUCCUAAGGUAGCGAAAUUCCUUGUCGGGUAAGUUCCGACCUGCACGAAUGGCGUAACGAUCUCCACACUGUCUCGGCCAGAGACUCGGUGAAAUUGCAGUCGCGGUGAAAAUUCCGUGUACCCGCAGAAAGACGGAAAGACCCUGUGCACCUUUACUAUAGCUUGACAUUGGAUUUUGGGCCUGCAUGUGUAGGAUAGGUGGGAGGCUGUGAACCCUGUACGCCAGUAUGGGGGGAGCCAUCCUUGAAAUACCACCCUUGCAUGUUUAAGAUCCUAACUUCUUCCGGUUAUCCCGGAGAAAGACAGUGUCUGGCGGGUAGUUUGACUGGGGCGGUCGCCUC
This 2281-nucleotide ribosomal RNA is filed under the name gut metagenome. RNAcentral describes it as "bacterial LSU rRNA". It matches the Rfam family "Bacterial large subunit ribosomal RNA", at positions 14 to 2289 of the family's 2925-position model. The record is from RNAcentral.